AUGCACGCUGGCGGCGUGCUUCACACAUGCAAGUCGCACGGUGAAGCUCCAGCUUGCUGGAGUGGAUCAGUGGCGAACGGGUGAGUAACACGUGAGCAACCUGCCCCUGACUCUGGGAUAACAGCCGGAAACGGCUGCUAAUACCGGAUAUGCACCAUGAACGCAUGUUCUGUGGUGGGAAAGAUUUUUCGGUUGGGGAUGGGCUCGCGGCCUAUCAGCUUGUUGGUGAGGUAAUGGCUCACCAAGGCGUCGACGGGUAGCCGGCCUGAGAGGGUGACCGGCCACACUGGGACUGAGACACGGCCCAGACUCCUACGGGAGGCAGCAGUGGGGAAUAUUGCACAAUGGGCGAAAGCCUGAUGCAGCAACGCCGCGUGAGGGAUGACGGCCUUCGGGUUGUAAACCUCUUUUAGCAGGGAAGAAGCGAGAGUGACGGUACCUGCAGAAAAAGCGCCGGCUAACUACGUG
This 468-nucleotide ribosomal RNA is filed under the name uncultured bacterium. Its description in RNAcentral is "partial 16S ribosomal RNA". It matches the Rfam family "Bacterial small subunit ribosomal RNA", at positions 29 to 507 of the family's 1533-position model. The record is from RNAcentral.